RNAcentral lists this ribosomal RNA (674 nucleotides) under uncultured Syntrophobacter sp. RNAcentral's name for it is "bacterial SSU rRNA". It matches the Rfam family "Bacterial small subunit ribosomal RNA", at positions 252 to 916 of the family's 1533-position model. The record is from RNAcentral. Lineage: Bacteria; Pseudomonadati; Thermodesulfobacteriota; Syntrophobacteria; Syntrophobacterales; Syntrophobacteraceae.
GUAGGGUAACGGCCUACCAAGGCGACGACGGGUAGCUGGUCUGAGAGGAUGAUCAGCCACACUGGCACUGGAACACGGGCCAGACUCCUACGGGAGGCAGCAGUGAGGAAUUUUGCGCAAUGGCCGCAAGGCUGACGCAGCAACGCCGCGUGGGUGAAGAAGGCCUUCGGGUCGUAAAGCCCUGUCAGGUGGGAAGAAGUGCUUGGGGGUAAAUAGCCCUUGAGUUUGACGGUACCACCAGAGGAAGCACCGGCUAACUCCGUGCCAGCAGCCGCGGUAAUACGGAGGGUGCGAGCGUUAUUCGGAAUUACUGGGCGUAAAGCGCGUGCAGGCGGGGGUGCAAGUCUGAUGUGAAAGCCCUGGGCUUAACCUGGGAAGUGCAUUGGAAACUGCAUCUCUUGAGUACUGGAGAGGAAGGGGGAAUUCCCGGUGUAGAGGUGAAAUUCGUAGAGAUCGGGAGGAAUACCAGUGGCGAAGGCGCCCUUCUGGACGGUUACUGACGCUGAGACGCGAAAGCGUGGGGAGCAAACAGGAUUAGAUACCCUGGUAGUCCACGCCGUAAACGAUGUUCACUAGGUGUUGGGGGUAUUGACCCCCUCAGUGCCGCAGCUAACGCAUUAAGUGAACCGCCUGGGGAGUACGGUCGCAAGACUAAAACUCAAAGGAAUUGACGG